UCUCUUGAUGGGGAUUUAGGCUACAGCACUGGGAAAAUAAUCAUGGGACUGGAUUUCAGGGCCCUGGCCACCUCAGCUCUUCAGGAAUGAAAAGCAUAAUGUUUUCCAUGGUGAUGCUGUGUCUCUACCUCCUCCCUCUGAACCUUGUGAGAGCCACGAACUAGGCUGGACUUUGGUGUCUGCCCUUCAGAUGAUUGGUGCCAUAAGAGGGCCACAAGCGGCACUAUUUCCAAGACAUGGAAACAACCUAAAUGUUCAUUGACAGAUGAGUGGAUGAAGAAGAUGUGGUACAUAUACACAAUGGAAUACUACUCAGCCAUAAAAAAGAACAAAAUAAGGCCAUUUGUAGCAACAUAGAUGGAACUGGAGAGUCUUAUACCAAAUGAAGCUUUUUAAUGUCAGCUCCAAAACUCGAAGCGUACAUAUCAGGAGCUUGGAAGAAAAGCCUGGAGAAAGAGUGGAGCACUCUUUUUAAUACCUGAUGCAGAUUACAUCUUCUGAUGCCCCCCAAGGUGCUAUUACAGAGGACAACAUGGACAUCAACACCUCUGAUUCAGAAAAAUUGAUCUCUGAAUGCUAUUAUGAAUAAUUGUGCCAUGUACAUGGGUGUUUGGAUAUCUUUGAGACCACACUUUCAGUUCUUUUGGGUAUAUGCCCAGAAGUAGAAUUGUUGGAUCAUAUGGCCAUUAAAAUAAAAACUAUUCAAGAAGUCAGCUGCUGCUAUAAAGGUCAUCUGGAAAGUCCAGGGAAGGACCCUGAGCUGCUGCUGGGAAAGAGAAAUUGUCCUCUGGCUCGUGAGCUGUCAUGUUUGUCUGCUGAGUGGCUUCAGUGGUUUCAUCUGUUGCUGAAAGAGCCAAGAGAGAGGGAUAAAACGGGACUAUAAUCCAUACCACAAUGAGCGGGACGGGACCAGCAGCCCAGAAGAAGCAAAAGGAAUCUUAAUGAAUUGGAGACAAUUGGAGAUGGUUUAUAAGGAUGAAGUUCAAAGGUUUUUCUUUAGAAGCCAUUGAGUUGGUAGUCUAGGAGAGCACCUUGUAGUGGUAUUUGCAUAAGGAGAAAGAUGUCAAAUAUUCAAAGAUGCCUUUACUCAAAGAGCCAGUGGCACUUAAGUGGCCAAAUAGCUUAUAAGCACUUAUUAAGAUGAAUGGAUAAAGAAGAUGUGGUAUAGAUACACAAUAGAAUAUUACUCAGCCAUUAAAAGGGAAUAAACUAUUGCCAUCUGCAACAACAUGGAUCGAACCGGAGGGUAUUAUGAUAAGUGAAGUAAGUCAAAGACAAAUAUUGUAUGUUUUCACCUAUAUGUGUAAUCAAGAAAAAUAAAUGAACAAAUAUAGCAAAACAGAAAUAGACUCAUAGAUAGAACAUACUAGUGGUUUUCAAUAUUAAAAAAAUAUUGAAUCACUAUAUUGUAUAUGUGAAACUAAUAUGAUAUUGUAAGUUAAAUAGACUUCAAUUUUUAAAAAAAGUAAUUUUAAAAAACAAUAGAGGAGUUUCCACUGUGUGACUUCCAUGGCUCUGGUCACUGUGGAGGUGCAGGUUUGAUCCCCAGCCCAGUGCAGUGGGUUAAAGGAUUUGGCAUUGCCACUGCUGCAACUCGGAUUUAGUCCUUGGCCCAGGAACUUCCAUAGGCCGUGGGUGCAGCCAUUGGAAAAAAAAAAAAA
RNAcentral lists this long non-coding RNA (1661 nucleotides) under Sus scrofa (pig). RNAcentral describes it as "lncRNA (ENSSSCG00035019218.1, ENSSSCG00045019393.1, ENSSSCG00065041477.1)". Lineage: Eukaryota; Metazoa; Chordata; Mammalia; Artiodactyla; Suidae. The record is from RNAcentral.